Molecule: non-coding RNA, 144 nt
Organism: Otolemur garnettii (small-eared galago)
Lineage: Eukaryota; Metazoa; Chordata; Mammalia; Primates; Galagidae
Source: Rfam
UUCUUCAUGCAGUGUAAGUAUUAAAGCCAAUGAGGUUUUUAUCUGAGGCAAGAUUACUGCUAAAGGAAAACUUUUCCCAACUACCCUACACCGACAACUUGCAACGUAGAUGGCAUUGGCAAUUUUUGACAGUCACUAUGGAGA